AAUUCUCAACCUUACCCAUUUUGUUAUGAAAUGGUGUAUAGGCUUGGAUAUGGGGGUUUGCAGGUCCACUUCGUGUGGUCUGCUCCUCUGAAAUGUAUUAGUGGGUUGUGCCCCUAAUCUAUUGGUGUGAUAAUUAUCUACGCCGUGGAUCAGGUCGGCGACAUUAGACCUGCUUCUAACCGUCCGACUCGGACAAACAUUGACCA
This 206-nucleotide unclassified non-coding RNA is filed under the name uncultured Psathyrellaceae. RNAcentral's name for it is "sequence contains ITS2". The record is from RNAcentral. Lineage: Eukaryota; Fungi; Basidiomycota; Agaricomycetes; Agaricales; Psathyrellaceae.